GCCCUAGUAACGGCGAGUGAAGCGGCAACAGCUCAAAUUUGAAAUCUGGCUUCGGCCCGAGUUGUAAUUUGCAGAGGAUGCUUCUGGCGCGGUGCCUUCCGAGUUCCCUGGAACGGGACGCCACAGAGGGUGAGAGCCCCGUAUGGUCGGACACCAAGCCUGUGUGAAGCUCCUUCGACGAGUCGAGUAGUUUGGGAAUGCUGCUCUAAAUGGGAGGUAAAUCUCUUCUAAAGCUAAAUACCGGCCAGAGACCGAUAGCGCACAAGUAGAGUGAUCGAAAGAUGAAAAGCACCUUGAAAAGGGGGUUAAAUAGUACGUGAAAUUGUUGAAAGGGAAGCACUUAUGACCAGACUUGGGCCGGGCGGCUCAUCAGGGGUUCUCCCCUGUGCACUCCGCCCGGCACAGGCCAGCAUCGGUUCUCGUGGGGGGAUAAGACCGUCAGGAACGUAGCACCCUCCGGGGUGUGUUAUAGCCUGGCGGACGAUACCCCCGUGGGGACCGAGGUCCGCGCUCCGCAAGGAUGCUGGCGUAAUGGUCAUCAGUGACCCGUCUUGAAACACGGACCAAGGAGUCGUCCAUUAGAGCGAGCGUUUGGGUGUAAAACCCGCACGCGUAAUGAAAGUGAACGCAGGUGAGAGCUUCGGCGCAUCAUCGACCGAUCCUGAUGUUCUCGGAAGGAUUUGAGUAAGAGUUUUAACGGACGGACCCGAAAGACAGUGAACUAUGCUUGUAUAGGGUGAAGCCAGAGGAAACUCUGGUGGAGGCUCGCAGCGGUUCUGACGUGCAAAUCGAUCGUCAAAUAUGAGCAUGGGGGCGAAAGACUAAU
Molecule: ribosomal RNA, 826 nt
Filed under: Phomopsis sp.
Lineage: Eukaryota; Fungi; Ascomycota; Sordariomycetes; Diaporthales; Diaporthaceae
Description: partial 28S ribosomal RNA
Rfam family: Eukaryotic large subunit ribosomal RNA
Source: RNAcentral